GCCGGCUUAGCUCAGUUGGUAGAGCACGUGAUUUGUAAUCACGGGGUCGCGGGUUCGAUCCCUGCAGCCGGCACCA
RNAcentral lists this transfer RNA (76 nucleotides) under Nitrobacter vulgaris. RNAcentral's name for it is "tRNA-Thr". It matches the Rfam family "tRNA". Rfam says of the family: Transfer RNA (tRNA) molecules are approximately 80 nucleotides in length. The record is from RNAcentral. Lineage: Bacteria; Pseudomonadati; Pseudomonadota; Alphaproteobacteria; Hyphomicrobiales; Nitrobacteraceae. RNAcentral also lists the same sequence under 5 other names.